AUGGAGGAAGAGGACGAAAACCAAGGGUGGGGAGGGGGAAGGCAUGAGCAAAUAGGGGUUACAGUUGAUGUUGUUGAGAGGUCAGGAGAUGAUGUGGAGGAUCAGACAGGGCUAACCUCGCGGCUGUCAGUUAAGCAUGUCGUCGAGGUCAUCACAAAAUUCGAUGAGUACAAAAGAUGGCUUGUGUCUGAGAUUGGUUUUGAGGGUAUGCUUAAACUCCCACUGUUGGGGAAGAUGGAUCUAAAGAUGAGUGCGUGGAUUAUGCGGAAGGUGAAGGUGAAGGUGCGUGCAAUAGUUGUUGAUGAACAUAGGGUGAUUCCUUUUGUGCCAGAGGAUUUUCACAAAGUAUUUGGCAUUCCGUGCGGCAACCGCGCUGUUCGUGGAAGGGAUGGCAAAAUAAAGAGUGCAGCAGUAGAGUUCAUGAAGCAGACAAUUGGGAUGGAUGCAUCUCCUGCUCAGAAUCUCAAGAUGGCAGAAGAUUUUCUUAGUAGGGAUAUAUCAGAUGAAUCAAGCAAGAUUGAGAAGGACUGUUUCCAGAUUUCAUUUGUUAUAUUUGUGAUGGGUUAUGUCUUGUCCCCGGGCACAAAGUAUGAGCACAUGACCAUUGAUUUUUGGGGGGCUCUCGCCAAUCCUGAGCUGAUUUCCCAAUUUAAUUGGUGCGAGUAUGCUGUUGAUAAUCUCAUGGCAGCUGUGAUGAAGUUGCAGAGGGAAUAUCACAACAAGGCGCAAGUGGUUCAUCUUUCUGGAUGCCAUUUGUUCUUCCAGAUUUUCUUGCUAGACAACAUUGAUCUUGGGAUUUUCAACAUGAUACACUCUGUAUUUCCGAGAAUUCAGAGUUUUGACUACAAAAUGCUUCGGCAGAUGAUUACGAUGGCGCGCUGCGAGCAGCGAGGGAGCAUAACAUACGUCCCUGGAGCAAUUCGCCCACCAGAUUCUGUAUGCUAUGUGCCUGUAAGUGUGACGAGCGCAAUGUGGACGGACGGUAUGUCACUUCCAUCUUCGUCCAAACAACCAUCAUCAAGGAUGUCUGUCACACGCAAAUGUCGGACAUCAAAGGCCCUGCAGGAGCUGAGUCUCAUGUUGAAGCAGCACAAUGCCAAGUGCACGCUCGCCGCGACAUUGUUGAGGAACCAACUACAGUCUGAUAUGUUUUGCUUUGCGGAGAAAAUGGUCGAACUUGUGAAGGACCGCUGCAGGUGUUGUUCGAAUCGAGGAUUGUCCAAGUGUACUAGUCUUGAGGAUACUGAUGUGGAUGGUAAUUCUAGUAGGCGAGUUUUCGAAGUAGGCCGUCGGCUUGAUAUGGGUUGUGACGAAGUCCAUGCAAAGUCAAAGGUUUACGAAGAUUAUCAAAGAAUGAAAAGGAUUUGUGUUGAACGAAACAAAAACAAAGCUGAAUCAGGGCAGGGCCAGUCGCGGACGAAAGAUGAUGUUCCUGUCUACAACAAUCCUGUGAUAGAGAGAAAACCAGAUGAUAGGGGGAAGAUGUUUGAAGACCGAAUUGUAGUCUAUGCACAGACUAUUGCUGAAAUGGUUCAAUCUCUAUAUGAUACAGAUACGAAGGAGGCAACAUUUGUUUAUUUUCACUCAACUGAGUCUAAAUUACCCAGGCGUAGGAAUGUCAUGUCGGCAAGCUUUUGCAAUGAUCCAUGGUCACGGGGAUGUGUCCCGCAACCUGCUUCAAUCCCGUUGAUAGGCAAGUUCAAUGCAUGGAUCGGUGGUCAGAAAGACCUUGAUUUGAAUAGUGUUUGGUUGCUGCAUACAUCGCCAAGGCUCUUGAGGGUAAAUGUUGUAUGUAUUCAGCAGCAGAUACUUGGAUCAGAAGCUCUUGACCAUGAGGUUGCUACCCUUCUUUUGCGGCGUUUUUACCAAAUUGACACUGGGGAUGGAGGAGCAAGUACCUACAUGUUGUGGAGGGAAGUUCUUGAACCAGAUUUUUCGACGCAUGCUCUUGCCGGGGGGAAAGUCUUGCAUGUGAAAGCUGUACAGGGGGUAUUUACACAUGCAAAUCAUGAUAUAACGACGUGUAGGAUGUUUUUCGUACCUGCUGUGUUGGAUCAAGGGUGGGCGGCGUAUAUGUGGGACAUGAUGAGGAAGGAGAUUCAUGUCCUCGACCCUAUGUGUCAGCAAGCUAUGGGUUUAGAGCAGCGUCACUUAAUGCAUGAAGUGGCAGUCUCACAAAUUCAUGCUGCGUUAUUUGGCUGCUUGAAUGAAUACUUUGCAAAAUGGCAUCGCGCUUCUCAAAGUUGGAAGCGGAAGUUCCCGAAGAUUACUGAUGACUUUUUCACAAGGGAUGAGUCUGGAAUAUGCAUGAUCCAUGCUAUUAGGAAUUAUUGUGGGGAGAAGAUGAUGUGUGCACUUACGAAGAAUAAUAUUGCAAGUUUUAGGAAAUUGGUUGCUUAUGAGGUCUUCCAUUUACGCGAUGAUCGUGGCGAUUUCGUGGCUGAUGAUCUCCUGCGCGCUGCGUUUGAUGAACCUGAGGAGCGAUGUGAAUGA
RNAcentral lists this ribosomal RNA (2493 nucleotides) under Triticum aestivum (bread wheat). RNAcentral describes it as "partial small subunit ribosomal RNA". The record is from RNAcentral. Lineage: Eukaryota; Viridiplantae; Streptophyta; Magnoliopsida; Poales; Poaceae.